GAGGGCGUAGCUCAGUGGUAGAGUGAGUGCUUAGUACACACAAAGUCCAGGGUUCAAUCCCCAGUCCCUCU
This 71-nucleotide transfer RNA is filed under the name Camelus bactrianus (Bactrian camel). It matches the Rfam family "tRNA". From Rfam's summary of the family: Transfer RNA (tRNA) molecules are approximately 80 nucleotides in length. Their secondary structure includes four short double-helical elements and three loops (D, anti-codon, and T loops). RNAcentral also lists the same sequence under 2 other names. The record is from Rfam by way of RNAcentral. Lineage: Eukaryota; Metazoa; Chordata; Mammalia; Artiodactyla; Camelidae.